This 552-nucleotide ribosomal RNA is filed under the name uncultured bacterium. RNAcentral describes it as "bacterial SSU rRNA". It matches the Rfam family "Bacterial small subunit ribosomal RNA", at positions 793 to 1347 of the family's 1533-position model. The record is from RNAcentral.
CUCCAUGCCGUAAACGGUGGGCGCUAGGUGUAGGGGGCUUCCACGUCUUCUGUGCCGUAGCUAACGCAUUAAGCGCCCCGCCUGGGGAGUACGGCCGCAAGGCUAAAACUCAAAGGAAUUGACGGGGGCCCGCACAAGCGGCGGAGCAUGUGGAUUAAUUCGAUGCAACGCGAAGAACCUUACCUGGGCUUGACAUACACCAGAUUGCUGCAGAGAUGUAGUGUCCCUUGUGGUUGGUGUACAGGUGGUGCAUGGUUGUCGUCAGCUCGUGUCGUGAGAUGUUGGGUUAAGUCCCGCAACGAGCGCAACCCUUGUCUUAUGUUGCCAGCAUUUGGUUGGGGACUCAUGAGAGACUGCCGGGGUUAACUCGGAGGAAGGUGGGGAUGACGUCAAAUCAUCAUGCCCCUUAUGUCCAGGGCUUCACACAUGCUACAAUGGUCGGUACAACGCGCAGCGACACUGUGAGGUGGAGCGAAUCGCUGAAAGCCGGUCUUAGUUCGGAUUGGGGUAUGCAACUCGACCCCAUGAAGUCGGAGUCGCUAGUAAUCGCAG